This is a long non-coding RNA of Suricata suricatta (meerkat), 345 nucleotides long. RefSeq lists it as uncharacterized. The record is from RefSeq and is a predicted model, not a curated record. Lineage: Eukaryota; Metazoa; Chordata; Mammalia; Carnivora; Herpestidae. The transcript is spliced from 3 exons.
CAGAAUCCCAAGCCGACUGCGCUGUGUGGAGCGCCAUGCUGGGCUGGACACCUGAGCCAAAGCCCAAUGGAGAUACCCAGUUUUUGGUGACAAGGAAUGGGUCCAAAGCUGACUACAAACACCCUUUGGCCAAAGACAUGCACAGGCAAGAUGCCCACUGAUCCCUUUGAAUUUACUGUUCCUCCUGUUCUUAUCUAAGAGCCUUGGGUGGCCUUAUUUUGCUGCAAGAUGAUCCCUCAUAUCCAGAAGCAAAAAUUUCAUCUAAGACCUUUUAAGAUUUUUGCUUUUAAUUUUUUUUCUGAACUAAUCAGUGGCAUAGAGGUAGAAAAUUUAAAUUGUUAAAUG